This 253-nucleotide ribosomal RNA is filed under the name uncultured bacterium. RNAcentral's name for it is "partial 16S ribosomal RNA". It matches the Rfam family "Bacterial small subunit ribosomal RNA", at positions 524 to 776 of the family's 1533-position model. The record is from RNAcentral.
UACAGAGGUCCCAAGCGUUGUUCGGAUUCACUGGGCGUAAAGGGUGCGUAGGUGGUGAGGUAAGUCGGAUGUGAAAGCUCGGAGCUCAACUCCGAAAUGGCAUUGGAAACUACCUUGCUCGAGGGUUGGAGGGGGGACUGGAAUUCCCGGUGUAGCAGUGAAAUGCGUAGAUAUCGGGAGGAACACCAGUGGCGAAGGCGAGUCCCUGGACAAUUCCUGACGCUGAGGCACGAAAGCCAGGGGAGCAAACAGG